AACGAACGCUGGCGGCGCGCCUAACACAUGCAAGUCGAACGAGAAUCCGGGGGCAACCCGGUAGUAGAGUGGCAAACGGGUGAGGAAUACAUGGGUAACCUACCCUUGAGAAGGGAAUAACCCGCCGAAAGGUGAGCUAAUACCCUAUACGCUAUCUUUUUUUCGAAAAGGAUAGGAAAGCCGGGUCGAGGACCUGGUACUCAAGGAGGGGCUCAUGUCCUAUCAGCUUGUUGGUGGGGUAACGGCCUACCAAGGCUACGACGGGUAGCUGGUCUGAGAGGAUGAUCAGCCACACUGGCACUGAGAUACGGGCCAGACUCCUACGGGAGGCAGCAGUGAGGAAUAUUGCGCAAUGGGCGAAAGCCUGACGCAGCGACGCCGCGUGGGGGAUGAAGGUUUUCGGAUUGUAAACCCUUUCAUGAGGAAAGAUAAAGUGGGUAACCACGUUAGACGGUACCUCAAGAAGAAGCCACGGCUAACUUCGUG
RNAcentral lists this ribosomal RNA (486 nucleotides) under uncultured bacterium. Its description in RNAcentral is "bacterial SSU rRNA". It matches the Rfam family "Bacterial small subunit ribosomal RNA", at positions 29 to 507 of the family's 1533-position model. The record is from RNAcentral.